Molecule: ribosomal RNA, 295 nt
Filed under: uncultured bacterium
Lineage: Bacteria
Description: partial 16S ribosomal RNA
Rfam family: Bacterial small subunit ribosomal RNA
Source: RNAcentral
AACGAACGCUGGCGGCGCGUUUUAAGUAUGCAAGUCGAGCGGUAAGGUCCUUCGGGACCCCAGAGCGGCGGACGGGUGAGUAACACGUGGAUAAUCUGCCUUCCAGUCCGGGAUAGCACAUGGAAACAUGUGAUAAUACCGGAUACGAUGUGCCUGCCACAUGGCGGGUGCAGGAAAGGUCCUGCGGGAGUCGCUGGGAGGAUGAGUCCGCGGCCCGACUUAGCUGGUUGGCGGGGGUAAAGGGCCCGACCCAACGGCGACGAUGGGUAGGCCGGCCGUGAGAGGGUGGACGGCC